Long non-coding RNA from Carassius auratus (goldfish), 2239 nucleotides. RefSeq lists it as uncharacterized. The record is from RefSeq and is a predicted model, not a curated record. The transcript is spliced from 3 exons. Lineage: Eukaryota; Metazoa; Chordata; Actinopteri; Cypriniformes; Cyprinidae.
GAGAGAGAGAGAGUGUGUGUGUGUGUGUGUAUGUAUGUGUGAGAGGGAGAGUCUGUGUAUGUGAGAGAGGGUGAGAGUGUUUGUGUGUGUGUGAGAGAGAAAGCCAGAGAUAACUUUUACUUAAAUAAAACUUCUGUGUGCACACAUGCUUCUUUCAAGUCAUUUCCAUUGUCAGUUUGAAAUACUCUAUAUUGUUUCUCCACACUUGUUUGGAUUUCUUUCUUCAUGUAAGUGCAGAUAGUCUUGGCAGAAAUGCAUUAUGUUCCUUGUUGUCUUCUGUAAACAACACUGAAGGGAUUAUUUCCCUCACUUCAAUCUAUAUAUAUAUAUAUAUAUAUAUGUCUAUAUAGACCCAUACACUAAUACAAAAUUACUAACUUAAAGGUUAACUAUUAGUCAAGUCUGCUUUGUUGUCAAUUCUUCCAUAUGUACAGUACAUACAUACAGAGAAUCGAAGACCCCCGGUGCAUACAGAUAACAUUAACAGUACAGCCUAAAAAUCUAGGUCAAAUAUAAAAUGUAGACACAACUGUACAAUAAGGGAAUGUAAAGAAGACAUAAUCAAGUUAAAUAAAGCGGCACAAGGCAGAUCGAGUGCAAAUCAGUGAGGUGAACAAACAGUGCAGAUAAAAAGAUUUUUAGUGCAAAAAGAAGCUUACUCAGUCUGAUUAAAUUGACAAAGGGCUCAAGAGCAGUUAUUUUAUUUAACUGACAGGUGAGUUGGUAGAAUGACGCCAGUUCGAUUAGCAACUUUUAAUAAAUAAAUAAAUAACUACACAAACGGCCUUUGACAAUACUACUGACCUCGGACCAAAGAGUUAAGUAAAUUAAGCCUAAUACCAGCAAUGAAUCGCAAAAGUAUGGAGGAAAGUGAUCAUGUAUUUUCAUGUAACGACUCGCAAAUCCUUUAUUAUUUUGGAUUGGCAACUACAUAAACACAUAGUAAUGCAUAGCGUAAAGCUACAUUUAAAAGCAUCCAACUAGACUCGUUGUUAAAUGUUAAACACGAUACAACUAACGUUACACAAAUAUGCCGCAAGUUGUGCCGCCUUGCCGUCAAGUGUUUUAGUAGGUACCGAUAGUGUAGGAAAACAGUGACGUUUUCUUCUACGUAAUUACGCGCAUGCGUAGAACGGAUCGUGCAGGUGGAACGGAUCGUGUACCGACAGACACUUCUCUAUCCCAUGAGGCACCGGGAGAGGGCUCGUCAUACUCAUAUUCGAAAAUAACGGAAAAUCGGAGGAUCGUGACGCUGCUGUUUUGAAGUAGACUGAUGAACACAAUCUUGUUCUCAUCCACUGAUGAAACCCUAUUCACUGGAAAGCAUAAUUCAGUAAUCUGCUCUUGAAGAGCUGCACACGGUCGUCUGCUGUGACACAGCUGUGGUCCAUUUGACCAGCACAUGCUCUUCUGUGCUGACUUCUGUGUUUUGGGGUUCCAGUGUAUCAUCGUCAUGAUCCUCCACAACUUCUGGAUCAGCAAUGUCCUCACUCACAGCAAUGUUGUGGAGCACUGCACAGCAUGCAACAACAUCUGCACAAAGCAGAACUCACUUCCAGGGCCUUGAAGAAGAAGAUGGAGCACAGCUGGUCUUCAUCAUCUGAAGGCUCUCUCAACAAUGUUCUGUGCACGAGCAUCAUUGGUGUUGAAUCAAAGCUGUGCAGGAUUGUGUUCAGACUCUCUGUCUGCUGUGAUGAGGCAGAUGAACACUCACACAAGGACACACACACCAUCUCCCAGGAUGUGUUUUCCUGCAGGUGGAUAGGCCUCCAGAGUUCUUCAGCACCCUGGCAUCAUACACAGAUACUCAACAAAGAUAUCAAGGUACUUACCAUGGUGGUGACCUGCAGCUGAACAGAAUGAAACCACUUCCUGUUGAAAUAACAUUGGGCUUCACUUGCUGGAGGUUCAGUUUGUAUGUGACAGCAAUCUAUUGUUCCAGCUACCAGAAGAAAAGCUGCUUCCACUGCCUCCAGGUCAUCUGUGGUGGAGAAGGCAAUCAGCCUCCUCAAAAUCCCCAUGACAGACCUGACCUGCUCAUUCUGUGCACAAUGUUAUGCAGCUCUUGGAUGUCGAAGGCCAGUGACAGCAGCCUGUAUGAUGCUGUUCACAGUCUGUAAAUAUGUAGUUUUUGUUUUUUAGAAUAAAAUUUCAAUAGGUUACACAUUUUUUUGCUGAUAUAUCUAUAUCUAACUAUAUAUAUUUAUAUAUGUGUGUAUAUUGUCUAUAAUGUAUAUAU